Molecule: non-coding RNA, 375 nt
Organism: Chanos chanos (milkfish)
Lineage: Eukaryota; Metazoa; Chordata; Actinopteri; Gonorynchiformes; Chanidae
Source: the annotation of a RefSeq genome assembly
AUGACUUUCAUCACCAUCUUCAUCUGGACCCUUCUGUGUUUUUUUAAAGAGUCCAGAGGUCAGGUGACUGUGACUCAGACUCCUGCAGUGAAAUCUGCUCUUCCAGGAGACACAGUCACUAUCAACUGUAAAACCAGCCCUGAAGUGGAUGCUGGUGAUCAUCUACACUGGUACCAACACAAACCUGGAGAGGCUCCUAAACUCCUGAUUGAGUAUGUAAGUUACCGUCAGUCUGGAGUUCCAGAUCGUUUCAGUGGCAGUGGAUCUGAUACUGACUUCACUCUGACCAUCAGUAACAUCCAGACUGAAGAUGCAGGAGAUUAUUACUGUCAGAGUCUACAUUACAUCAGUAACAAAUAUGUGUUCACACAGUGA